RNAcentral lists this ribosomal RNA (497 nucleotides) under uncultured bacterium. Its description in RNAcentral is "partial 16S ribosomal RNA". It matches the Rfam family "Bacterial small subunit ribosomal RNA", at positions 28 to 507 of the family's 1533-position model. The record is from RNAcentral.
GAUGAACGCUGGCGGCGUGCCUAAUACAUGCAAGUCGAGCGAACAGACGAGGAGCUUGCUCCUCUGACGUUAGCGGCGGACAGGUGAGUAACACGUGGAUAACCUACCUAUAAGACUGGGAUAACUUCGGGAAACCGGAGCUAAUACCGGAUAAUAUAUUGAACCGCAUGGUUCAAUAGUGAAAGACGGUUUUGCUGUCACUUAUAGAUGGAUCCGCGCCGCAUUAGCUAGUUGGUAAGGUAACGGCUUACCAAGGCAACGAUGCGUAGCCGACCUGAGAGGGUGAUCGGCCACACUGGAACUGAGACACGGUCCAGACACCUACGGGAGGCAGCAGUAGGGAAUCUUCCGCAAUGGGCGAAAGCCUGACGGAGCAACGCCGCGUGAGUGAUGAAGGUCUUCGGAUCGUAAAACUCUGUUAUUAGGGAAGAACAAAUGUGUAAGUAACUAUGCACGUCUUGACGGUACCUAAUCAGAAAGCCACGGCUAACUACGUG